RNAcentral lists this ribosomal RNA (548 nucleotides) under uncultured bacterium. RNAcentral's name for it is "bacterial SSU rRNA". It matches the Rfam family "Bacterial small subunit ribosomal RNA", at positions 359 to 917 of the family's 1533-position model. The record is from RNAcentral.
GNAUUGCGCAUGGGCGAANCCUGNGCACGACGCCGCGUGGGGGAUGAAGCUUCUCGGAGUGUAAACCCCUUUCGACCCGGACGAAACGCCCGCAAGGGUUUGACGGUACGGGUAUAAGAAGCCCCGGCUAACUACGUGCCAGCAGCCGCGGUAAUACGUAGGGGGCCAGCGUUGCUCGGAAUUACNUGGGCGUAAAGGGUUCGUAGGUGGUGCGGCAAGUUGGGAGUGAAAUCUCUGGGCUUAACUCAGAGGCUGCUUUCAAAACUGCCGCGCUCGAGUGCGGGAGAGGCCAGUGGAAUUGCAGGUGUAGCGGUGAAAUGCGUAGAUAUCUGCAGGAACACCCGUGGCGAAGGCGGCUGGCUGGACCGCAACUGACACUGAGGAACGAAAGCUAGGGGAGCAAACAGGAUUAGAUACCCUGGUAGUCCUAGCCCUAAACCAUCAGAACUUGGGGUGGCCCGCGUAGGCGGGUCGUCCCGUAGCUAACGCGUUAAGUUCUGCGCCUGGGGAGUACGGUCGCAAGACUGAAACUCAAAAAAAUUGACGGA